This is a long non-coding RNA of Pieris rapae (cabbage white), 663 nucleotides long. RefSeq lists it as uncharacterized. The transcript is spliced from 3 exons. The record is from RefSeq and is a predicted model, not a curated record. Lineage: Eukaryota; Metazoa; Arthropoda; Insecta; Lepidoptera; Pieridae.
UUUUUUUUUUUUUUUUUCUCCUUUCUUGGCCUGCACGGUUUGUGCGUCAGCCAUGUACAAAAGUUAGGAAGUGCAUUAUUAGGUUUAUUGGAUAGGAAAUUAGUACGGAAUUUGGAAAAGGAUCAGAUAAAUUUUAUUAUAAGCAAAAAAUAUAUGGUUAAAACCCCCAACGUCAUUGCCACACUCAAAUGUGUCGUCAGGCAAAAGGUUUAAGCCUUGCCAAAUGCAAGGGUAUGCAUGCAUGGCCCAGCCUCAUACAUAUAAGGGUCGAAGUAAUAUCUUUACCAAGCGUCAAAGUAGAAGUGGAAGGGUGAGACGCAUCGAUUGUGACUACAUGAGACACCUGGAGGGAUGUCCCUCCAGGGUCUUCGGGCUCCAUCACGGACGACAAGAAAAAAAUUCUUAUCUACAUAUAAUAAAAUAAAAUAACUUACCAGGCUACUAAGACAAACUAAAAAUAUAAAUAAUCAACAAUAACUACUACUAUAUACACCUUAUAACUUAACUGAUCCUGUAUUAUUAUAUUAAUUUAAUUUUCAAAAUUUAAGCCAAAAAAAAGACGCCCGCCUAUUUUUACACUUCCCGCGCUUUUUUCUCAUAAUAUGUUGUAAAUAAGAAUAAUCAGCUGCUCUGAUUCCACAGACUAGGAAACCUAGAUGCUGC